AUGAAACUAAGGACAAAACGACCUGGAUGGAAGUCCCUCGUGCCUCUGCAGUUGAGCAGGAAAUCCACCAUGCGCUUCUUUCUGUUUCCCAAGGUUCAGGCAUCCGGUCAAUCUCCAAAUGAUACUCCGGUUUAUCUUAAUGUGUAUGAUUUGACACCCAUGAAUGGCUACAUAUAUUGGGCAGGCCUUGGUAUAUUUCACUCUGGCAUUGAAGUUCAUGGCGUCGAAUAUGCAUUUGGAGCACAUGAUUAUCCCACAAGCGGAGUAUUUGAGGUAGAACCUCGUCAAUGUCCUGGUUUCAGAUUCAGGAGAUCAAUAUUCCUUGGUACGACGUGCUUAGAUCCCAUCCAAGUUAGGCAGUUCAUGGAGCUACAGUCAGUAAACUACAAUGGAGAUUCUUACCAUCUUAUCAUGAAGAAUUGCAACCACUUUUGCAAGGAUAUGUGUUACAAAUUGACCGGCAGCAAAAUUCCAAAAUGGGUGAAUCGGCUCGCCAGAAUAGGUGCCAUCUGCAACUGCCUCCUCCCGGAGUCUCUCAAGAUUUCCCCGGUCGGCCAUGAUCCAAACAGCCAGCCCGAGGAUUCAGAGAAGCGCCGCCUGCGAAACCCGUUAAGCUGCUUCUCCUCCAUCUCGAGCCAGAGAGCGCUUCCCCCGUCUUCUUCCCCUUUCCCUCCAUCGCCCGUGAAAGAGCCCAUUCUGAGCUCUUCAUUGAGGAAAUCCAGCACCGCGUCGCUCAAGAGUAGGUAG
Molecule: ribosomal RNA, 747 nt
Filed under: Triticum aestivum (bread wheat)
Lineage: Eukaryota; Viridiplantae; Streptophyta; Magnoliopsida; Poales; Poaceae
Description: partial small subunit ribosomal RNA
Source: RNAcentral